AAUUAUACCGCGAAACUGCGAAUGGCUCAUUAAAUCAGUUAUCGUUUAUUUGAUAGUACCUUACUACAUGGAUAACCGUGGUAAUUCUAGAGCUAAUACAUGCUAAAAAUCCCGACUUCGGAAGGGAUGUAUUUAUUAGAUUAAAAACCAAUGCCCUUCGGGGCUCUCUGGUGAUUCAUAAUAACUUCUCGAAUCGCACGGCCUUGCGCCGGCGAUGGUUCAUUCAAAUUUCUGCCCUAUCAACUUUCGACGGCUGGGUCUUGGCCAGCCGUGGUGACAACGGGUAACGGAGGGUUAGGGCUCGACCCCGGAGAAGGAGCCUGAGAAACGGCUACUACAUCCAAGGAAGGCAGCAGGCGCGCAAAUUACCCAAUCCCGACACGGGGAGGUAGUGACAAUAAAUACUGAUACAGGGCUCUUUCGGGUCUUGUAAUUGGAAUGAGUACAAUUUAAAUCCCUUAACGAGGAACAAUUGGAGGGCAAGUCUGGUGCCAGCAGCCGCGGUAAUUCCAGCUCCAAUAGCGUAUAUUAAAGUUGUUGAGGUUAAAAAGCUCGUAGUUGAACCUUGGGCCUAGCCGGCCGGUCCGCCUCACCGCGUGCACUGGCUCGGCUGGGUCUUUCCUUCUGGAGAACCGCAUGCCCUUCACUGGGUGUGCCGGGGAACCAGGACUUUUACUCUGAAUAAAUUAGAUCGCUUAAAGAAGGCCUAUGCUCGAAUACAUUAGCAUGGAAUAAUAGAAUAGGACGUGUGGUUCUAUUUUGUUGGUUUCUAGGACCGCCGUAAUGAUUAAUAGGGACAGUCGGGGGCAUCAGUAUUCAAUUGUCAGAGGUGAAAUUCUUGGAUUUAUUGAAGACUAACUACUGCGAAAGCAUUUGCCAAGGAUGUUUUCAUUAAUCAGGAACGAAAGUUAGGGGAUCGAAGACGAUCAGAUACCGUCGUAGUCUUAACCAUAAACUAUGCCGAUUAGGGAUCGGACGGCGUUAUUUUUUGACCCGUUCGGCACCUUACGAUAAAUCAAAAUGU
This 1024-nucleotide ribosomal RNA is filed under the name Collariella pachypodioides. Its description in RNAcentral is "SSU rRNA". It matches the Rfam family "Eukaryotic small subunit ribosomal RNA", at positions 72 to 1106 of the family's 1831-position model. The record is from RNAcentral. Lineage: Eukaryota; Fungi; Ascomycota; Sordariomycetes; Sordariales; Chaetomiaceae.